UCUCUUACAGUUACUGACAAGUUUAAGUGUUUUUCAGAGCUGAGAGUGAAGAUGAGUCCUUCUGCAGUGGUGACAGAGAGUCAGAGAGUCACACUGACCUGCAGUACCAGCUGUCCUCUGACUGACAACACAAACUACAUUUGGUACUUGAACAGUCGACCUCUGACCCCGAGAGAGAACCAGAACAAACAUCUGAUCCUAGACCCAGUCAGCAGGGAGGAUGCAGGAAGCUACUCCUGUGCUGUGAAAACCAACAAAGAUAUCAGCUCUGCUCCAAAGACUCUCACUGUCCAAAGUAUCACAGGAACAUGGACACCAGCAGCUGCAGGAGUUUCUGCAGCUCUGCUGCUUUUAAUACUUCUCACUGUCUGCUGGUGGAUCAGAAAAAGGAGAACUUCUAGAUUAUCGCCAACGAGUGAAACAAUGGAAAACUUGGAGCAGGUAAAGAAAAUAAAUAUGAUAAUUUUUCCUACAAAAGAGGAACAUCCCCCUGAUCUAUCUAGAUUAUUCCUUCAUGCACAUCAGAGCAGCUUUAUUUUAACAGAUAAUGACAAAAUGCUUGUGAGUCUCUACAAUCAGAGCACGGUUCUGCUGUAGUUCUCAUCUGAGGUUCCUGAUUUCAGAAAAGAGUCUUUCUCUUAUGUUCUGGUUUUCUGCAGGGCAUAAUUUAUUUUAUAUAAUGGUACAAUAAAGCCUGCUGAGCUUUUUGUAAAACAAUCAAAACUACAACUCAUCUUGUUCACUUUGUGAUACACUGUAAAAAGAAAAACCCUAUUGAAAUUAAAAAAAUUGAUGUCCAAUGGUCACAUCCAAAAUAUUUGACUUCAUAGAAUCCAAAUUGAGUCACUUGAUAUGACCUGAUACUUUUAUGUUGAUAUAAACAAUAUUACUAGACUUGACUGAAACUUUAAAUUUUGCAUUGAUCCAAAUUGAUUUUUUUACAUAGAACCAUAUUUUAAUUAUUGAACCAAGCUAAUAUAUUGAAAUUUAACCAACCUAAUGUAUUCACAUCGAACCAAAUUAACAUGAACUAAUAUGUUUGUCUUGAAGCCAGGUAAUUGAUUUACAUAUAUUCAAACUAUAUUUUUUACAUUUCAUUUUAUUUCAGUUCAAAAAUGCUCUGCAUUUCCUAUAAAAAACAAGACAGUUGGCCAACCAAUUAUUUCAAAAUUAUUUAUUGUUCCAAACCAUUUUAACUAUAAUCAAUAGAGAGGAUUAGUAAUAUAAAGAUUUAGUGCUACGGCAGAAAUGAUUAGAGAAAUGUUUGUUUUAUAAAACCUGCAACCUUUUGAAAACCAGUAUAAAACCUGCAAUCUUUUUAGAACUGGUAUAAAACCUGCAACCUGUCUAAAACUGGCAUAAAACCAAAACUCUUUUUAAACCAAUUUGCAAGUACUCAAAAAUGUUUAUAUGUGCACUGUGCCUGUACAAUGUAAAAAAAAAUGUACACAUGUAUCAAUGAAAUCAACUUAAAUCUCCCUUUCAAAUGGGUGUUCUUAUAACUUUUGAAUGUAGAAUACCACUGCAGGCCAACCAAGCAAAAUAACCAAGCACACAUGCACAUGCAUGUGCACAUACACAUGCAUGCACACAUGCAUGCAAACACACUACUGUGCAGUGUUAAGUUCACAAUUAAGUUUGCGAAUCUUAGAGGUCAUCUUGUUAAAGUCAAGCUCCAUCAUAAUCUUUUGAAGAGCCUCAAAGGUGAACCUGAAUCCUCGUGGAUAUUCCAUAUUAAGAGCAUAACAGAGUCCAAAGACCAUUGCCACUCCAGCUGCCACAGAAGGCAACUCAUUCAGGACUUCCACACCAUCAAUGAUUAUCCCGAUGUCUCGAGGCUGAUGUAGGAGGCUUGAGUUGUCCCUGAAGACGAAGAGUGCCAUUGUGGUACUCUGCAGCUCUUCCUCAGCUUCAUCUUUCUGGGAUAUCUUGAGGUAAAAUAUGGAACAAAAUGUACAAGUGAAGAACUGAAGUCUGGCACACCUGAUAAACCAUAAUAAACUACUAUUUUGAUAGUUGUUUGGUCACAGACUAUUAGAACAAUUAUUUGACUAAUCAGAUUGUGAAUUGCAUAAUCAUUAAAUUAAAUCAAUGGUGGAACAUUUUCAUAAAUGUUCCACAAAGCCCAAGAAAAAAAAGAAAACAAUACAGAACCCUAAGAUAUUAACUUGAUGAGUUGAUUAAUCGUUGCUGUUCUACAUUAAUCACUGCAUUUAAUAGCAGAGUUGUCAAAUUUACAUCAAGAGACUGCAUCUCAUGUAGAGACAGAACAGAUAUGGACAUACCAUGUAUUCUUUUAUCAAGUCCUCAACACGUUCUCCAAGGUAGAUAAUGAGAGAUUUAAGUAUACACUCCCUCCUAAUGUCAGCACCAGCAUCCUGCAGGAACAGUUAAAAUUGUUACUAUGCAAUAUGGAGAGUAUGCUGCGUGAAAGGCAUUUUUUUUUCACCUCUCUAUCCUCAUGAGGUGACUAAUGCCCCUUUUCCACCGACAAAUCGGCACGGUGCGCUUGAGAGCAGUUCAGUUUAGCGGGGAUGAACUCGCUUGUUGCGGUGGAAACAUAAAGUGGACGUAACUGGGAACAGGGGCGAACCCAUCUGGCUAUGAAAAGUCGCGCGCAAAAGUCUUUGUCCGCAACAUCACAGCCCAAAGAACAACAACAAUCGCGAUAUAUGUGUGUUUUUGUACUUUGCUCUGUCUGUGGUUCAUUUUGAUUGGUUUGAUUUGUGGUUCUUGUGGAGGAAGUCGCCAUGGUCCAAAGUCAAUGGAGUAUGGUUGCUGGGAGUUUUUUUUAAAGCUUUUUGUGGGAGCGCUUCUAUAUCACAUCACGUGGACACCACACACACCCGGGCCAAUGAGGUGUAAAGGCGGUGGAAAAGCGUCCGCAGGGGGCUAAAGUGAACUGAGCCACACCGUGUUCUGUCGGUGGAAAAGCAGCAUAUGCUUUCUUGUCCCUAAAUAAAAGUUUAUACGUAUAUAUGUAUGUAUGUGUAUCUGGCGAGUGAGAGUGAAAAUGUGUCUCCAAAAUAAAUUUUGUUGUAGUUGUGCUCUGUACUUGUAUAAUGACAAUAAAUCUCUUCAUUCAUUCAAGGACAAAGCAAACACUUCCUUUCAACAUUUUAAAAGGUCACAGCCAUAAUCACUGACGUUACCAAAAUAAAACUGUAACAGGAUACAAAUUCUCAUUAGAUACAGGGGUUAAAAUGCUAACUGUCAUGUUAAUAGUUAAUUAUAUAUACCCUACCUGAUCAAGAAACUCUAGGAUUAUGGCAGUUUUUGCUUUGGUUGUCCCUCCUUUCUUUCUGAUUAUUUUAAGUAGCUGUGGGGAGUGCUUGUCCAGCUGGGCCAUGAAUCUGGUUAGCAAGGGAACUGCAGUAACCCGCAGAAACUCUGCAUUAAUCUGUACAUGAGUAGACAGUGUACAAUACAUUUUUUAAAGACCAAAUUCCAACAAGAAAAAGUCAAAACAUAUAUUUCCCAUUUCCAAACUAUGAUAAAAGGCA
This 3503-nucleotide long non-coding RNA is filed under the name Oreochromis niloticus (Nile tilapia). RNAcentral's name for it is "lncRNA (ENSONIG00000032461.1)". The record is from RNAcentral. Lineage: Eukaryota; Metazoa; Chordata; Actinopteri; Cichliformes; Cichlidae.